Molecule: ribosomal RNA, 771 nt
Filed under: uncultured bacterium
Lineage: Bacteria
Description: bacterial SSU rRNA
Rfam family: Bacterial small subunit ribosomal RNA
Source: RNAcentral
GACGAACGCUGGCGGCGCGCCUAACACAUGCAAGUCGAACGAGCGAGAGAGAGCUUGCUUUCUUGAGCGAGUGGCGAACGGGUGAGUAACGCGUGAGGAACCUGCCUCAAAGAGGGGAACAACAGUUGGAAACGACUGCUAAUACCGCAUAAGCCCACGACCCGGCAUCGGGUAGAGGGAAAAGGAGCAAUCCGCUUUGAGAUGGCCUCGCGUCCGAUUAGCUAGUUGGUGAGGUAACGGCCCACCAAGGCGACGAUCGGUAGCCGGACUGAGAGGUUGAACGGCCACAUUGGGACUGAGACACGGCCCAGACUCCUACGGGAGGCAGCAGUGGGGAAUAUUGCACAAUGGGGGAAACCCUGAUGCAGCGACGCCGCGUGGAGGAAGAAGGUCUUCGGAUUGUAAACUCCUGUUGUUGAGGAAGAUAAUGACGGUACUCAACAAGGAAGUGACGGCUAACUACGUGCCAGCAGCCGCGGUAAAACGUAGGUCACAAGCGUUGUCCGGAAUUACUGGGUGUAAAGGGAGCGCAGGCGGGAAGACAAGUUGGAAGUGAAAUCCAUGGGCUCAACCCAUGAACUGCUUUCAAAACUGUUUUUCUUGAGUAGUGCAGAGGUAGGCGGAAUUCCCGGUGUAGCGGUGGAAUGCGUAGAUAUCGGGAGGAACACCAGUGGCGAAGGCGGCCUACUGGGCACCAACUGACGCUGAGGCUCGAAAGUGUGGGUAGCAAACAGGAUUAGAUACCCUGGUAGUCCACACUGUAAACGAUGA